GAUGAACGCUAGCGGCAGGCUUAACACAUGCAAGUCGAGGGGUAGAAGCAGCUUGCUGCUUUGAGACCGGCGCACGGGUGCGUAACGCGUAUGCAAUCUACCUUUUACAGAGGGAUAGCCCAGAGAAAUUUGGAUUAAUACCUCAUAGUAUGUGAGAAUCGCAUGGUUUUCACAUUAAAGUUCCAACGGUAAAAGAUGAGCAUGCGUCCCAUUAGCUAGAUGGUAAGGUAACGGCUUACCAUGGCGACGAUGGGUAGGGGUCCUGAGAGGGAGAUCCCCCACACUGGUACUGAGACACGGACCAGACUCCUACGGGAGGCAGCAGUGAGGAAUAUUGGACAAUGGGCGCAAGCCUGAUCCAGCCAUGCCGCGUGCAGGAUGACGGUCCUAUGGAUUGUAAACUGCUUUUGUACAGGAAGAAACACUCCCUCGUGAGGGAGCUUGACGGUACUGUAAGAAUAAGGAUCGGCUAACU
Molecule: ribosomal RNA, 475 nt
Filed under: uncultured bacterium
Lineage: Bacteria
Description: bacterial SSU rRNA
Rfam family: Bacterial small subunit ribosomal RNA
Source: RNAcentral